This 253-nucleotide ribosomal RNA is filed under the name uncultured bacterium. RNAcentral describes it as "partial 16S ribosomal RNA". It matches the Rfam family "Bacterial small subunit ribosomal RNA", at positions 524 to 776 of the family's 1533-position model. The record is from RNAcentral.
UACGUAGGGGGCUAGCGUUGUCCGGAUUUAUUGGGCGUAAAGAGCUCGUAGGCGGUGUGUCACGUCGGCCGUGAAAACCUGCAGCUUAACUGUGGGCGUGCGGUCGAUACGGGAUAGCUAGAGGUAGGUAGGGGAGAUUGGAAUUCCUGGUGUAGCGGUGAAAUGCGCAGAUAUCAGGAGGAACACCAAUUGCGAAGGCAGCUCGCUGGAACGUAACUGACGCUGAGACGCGAAAGCGUGGGGAGCAAACAGG